CUUUUAUGGCAGAAAGGAACAACCGUGGAAUUUCGAACUACAGCUGUGUAUCCUGCUCAUCAUAAGCUAGGAAAGCAUAAGCAUACCAUAAGCUAGGAAAGUCAGAGUUCAUGCAAGAGCAGGACUUCUGCCCAGGUGCUGAUAGGAACACUUUUUUUUUGGAACUUCGCAUUUGAAAUAUAGUUCAGUUGCAUAUGUGAACAGAAGUUGCAUAAUACCUAGAGUAAUGUAUAUGAGAGUUAAGUAUUUGGAGACAAGUUUUCAAAACGUUUUCAAAAAUGGAAGAAAUAAAUAUGUGUUUAUAUUCUUUAAUACUAGGGACCUUUUAAGGUGCAGCAGCAUUUGAUCUGAAUUGUCAGCUCAUGGAUACUUAGUAAUUGCAGAUGAGUUUCCUCUCCUGUCCUUUUUGUUCACUGGUACCUUAAACUCCCCUACUUCAGUCAGUCACAAUCAUGAUCUAAUUGUGAUCUCUCUUGCUGUUUCCCUACAGUUGUAAGAAAUUCUCUUGUGUGCUGAAGAGAGAUGCCCCAGUCUGAGGAUGCUCAGCCAUGCUUCUAUCCAGGAGGUACUACUGAAAGAAAGAAGUGGCUCUUUGAACAGCAAGAUGGAGAAUCUUAUGCAUUUUAUGGAAAUAGCACAGCUAUGACUUGCCAUCAGUUCAGCCAGCAGUCAAGCAAAGAAUGGAGCUCAGUUUUGCAAAGUCUGUCCAGGAAUAUAUCUACUAGAUUGCUUUACCCCUGAAUGAGAAGUUUGCCUUCAUUUUCUUACUAAGAUUUGGUCUGGAACCAACUAGCAACUGCAGCAGUUUCUGGUAGGUAAUAUUUUUGACUAGAUUAGAGUCAAUGACUUACAAAUGAGAACCUUUUUAUUCCAUAAUAGAACAAAAGGCAUUAUUUCCUGGGAAACACAAUCUGUGCAUUUAUCUAUUUAGUGUGUUUACUUGGAUUUUAUAUUUAGAUAAAAGAGGCAUUUCAAUUUUAUAGUGUAUCUACAGCAUGGUAUGUUGAAUUCUCAAAAUUUAAUCAUGUACUAGUUAUGCUUUGUGUCUGGUUAAAGAUGAUAGAUUUUAAUAGUUUAGUAUUGAAGGUCAAAGAUUAAGUCACUAUUGGCAGUUUCUUGGCACCAUAAGAC
Molecule: long non-coding RNA, 1131 nt
Filed under: Anser brachyrhynchus (Pink-footed goose)
Lineage: Eukaryota; Metazoa; Chordata; Aves; Anseriformes; Anatidae
Description: lncRNA (ENSABRG00000010606.1)
Source: RNAcentral